RNAcentral lists this ribosomal RNA (497 nucleotides) under uncultured bacterium. RNAcentral describes it as "partial 16S ribosomal RNA". It matches the Rfam family "Bacterial small subunit ribosomal RNA", at positions 28 to 507 of the family's 1533-position model. The record is from RNAcentral.
GAUGAACGCUGGCGGCGUGCCUAAUACAUGCAAGUCGAGCGAACAGACGAGGAGCUUGCUCCUCUGACGUUAGCGGCGGACGGGUGAGUAACACGUGGAUAACCUACCUAUAAGACUGGGAUAACUUCGGGAAACCGGAGCUAAUACCGGAUAAUAUAUUGAACCGCAUGGUUCAAUAGUGAAAGACGGUUUUGCUGUCACUUAUAGAUGGAUCCGUGCCGCAUUAGCUAGUUGGUAAGGUAACGGCUUACCAAGGCAACGAUGCGUAGCCGACGUGAGAGAGUGAUCGCCCACCCUGGAACUGGGACACGGACAAGACUACUACGGGAGGCAGCAGUAGGGAAUCUUACGCAAUGGGCGAAAGCCUGACGGAGCAACGCCGCGUGAGAGAUGAAGGUCUUCGGAUCGUAAAACUCUGUUAUUAGGGAAGAACAAAUGUGUAAGUAACUAUGCACGUCUUGACGGUACCUAAUCAGAAAGCCACGGCUAACUACGUG